Molecule: ribosomal RNA, 323 nt
Filed under: uncultured Smithella sp.
Lineage: Bacteria; Pseudomonadati; Thermodesulfobacteriota; Syntrophia; Syntrophales; Smithellaceae
Description: bacterial SSU rRNA
Rfam family: Bacterial small subunit ribosomal RNA
Source: RNAcentral
GUCAGCUCGUGUCGUGAGAUGUUGGGUUAAGUCCGCACGAGCGCACCUUAUCUUUAAUUGCCAGCAUUCAGUUGGGCACUUUAAAGAGACUGCCGGUGUUAAACCGGAGGAAGGUGGGGAUGACGUCAAGUCCUCAUGGCCUUUAUGCUUAGGGCUACACACGUGCUACAAUGGGUGGUACAAAGAGAAGCCAACUCGCGAGAGCGCGCCAAUCUCAAAAAGCCAUCCUCAGUUCGGAUUGGAGUCUGCAACUCGACUCCAUGAAGUUGGAAUCGCUAGUAAUCGCGGAUCAGCAUGCCGCGGUGAAUACGUUCCCGGGCCUU